AGCGCUGUAUCCAUCCACAAGCUGCAUGCUCAAAGCGCUGUAUCCAUCCACAAGCUGCAUGCUCAAAGCGCUAUUCAGAUUUUAGAGAAUGUGUUGUUCCUUUAUGUUAUUUUCACACCAGGAUGCCGUUGUACAAAGCGAUCUUAGUGCUAAGGUGAUCCUAGUUCCCAUACUUGAACACAGACGUACGACUGUCGUAGCACUAAGGUGGUUUUGUACAACAGCACCCUGGGAUAUAUUUGUCACUUUAAAAUUUCAUGUAUUGUUGAAAGAUUUUAUCUUGAUUUUUGCAUGGAUAUAUGCAGCAUGCUAGAUCGAAUGAGAGGUUAUGGACUUAACAUGCAAAGAGUGCCAAAGCAUUGCGUUGCAUUCAAAAUAUCUUGAUGCUACAAAGGAACUGUUAGCUUGAAAAUAUGUUUUGACUUAAAGGAACUGUUGCUGGACACAUGCUACAAUUCCCGACUUAAGCUAAAGAGAUCUGGUUUAUACUACUAAAUUUUUGAUAGGGAUAAUCAGCUGUGUCAUGGAAAGGUAACAAUAUAUCCCUAUCAACAGUGAGUAGUACAGUGGGUUUUUUACACAUCAGGUAAUCAGGUUCCUGGAUGACAGCAUCAUGGCAAUUUAGCACUUUGAAUUUAUAUGGUUUUUACCUGUAUUGAUGUUAAACAAUGGGAUUAUUUUACGUAUACUCCAUGUUUUCUUGUACACAGAUGCUGAUUACUGACUAGUCAAGUUCAAUUUAUUAAGUGGCUGCUUUGUUUUCAGAUUAUUUAUUUAGUUUAGUUUUUUUUAGUUAUAAGUAUUGUCUACUUGUGAUCAAAUGGUGUACUAUAAUUUUAUGUUUUGUCAUUUCAGAAGUGUUGUACAUAUUUUGCGUCACACCUCACUUUAAUCAUUUUUCUGUUUAAUCAGUGUUUAUUACCGAACAGCCAAUCAGAUUAGCCCUGCCGCUAUGCAGGACUUCAUGGCAUUGGGAUGAUCCACCAGGCCUCUCACACUCGGGACUUGCCACAAAUAAUUGCAAUAUAGUCGAUACAGCAGUGUUAAGCAAUAUUAACUCACACUCAGAUAACUCUGGUAAUAUAUUAUGAUUAUUCACCUGUAUUUUAUUUGUAACAUUAGGCUGGAUCAGUUUUCUGUUGCUUUGUCUACACACCAUUCUACUUCCACUUGUUAUGAAUGUGGACUACAUUAGCUUUUUUAUAAAGUAAUUUUAGAUAGGUAUGGGAGUAAAUCUACUAGCAUUACAAGCACCGUGUUCAUAAAUCCCUGUUAAUUUCAGUCUACAUAUGACACUUAUGAAGAAAUUAAUUAAUUAUGUUUAUUUCAACCACAAACCCUUGGCUUAGAUAUCUCUAAAGCAAGUACAACCAUCUCAUGGCACGUACUAUCUGUUUCCAACACUUCACAAGACUUGCCGUUAUCCUCAUCUGAUUGGUGUUUGAAUGAGUUUCACAAAGGGGUGAAAGUUUCAAGUGUCAAUAAGAGGUAGAGAUUGUUAGUGCAUUAUGAAUUUUGACUUGCUUCUUAGAAUAGCAUGAAAUACUGUUUUAUUAUUUUCUAUGAUUGAAAGAUGGAUGCUAGCAUUCAUUCACAGGGUAAACACUUUUCAGGCUGUCUUACAAACUGGAUUAGUUGAAUAUGUUUCAAAGACUUAUAAAAUAUUGCUUGAAGUACUAGGUACAAAAUAUUUACUUUCAUAUAAAACAGGUAUUUUUGUUGUUAUUAUUAUGCCAUUCAUUUCUUCUAUAACUAGGGACAGUGGGGUAGCCCAGUGGUUAAAGCGUCCGCUUGUCACACAAAAGACCUGGGUUCGAUUUCCCACAUGAGUACAUUGUGUGAACCCAUUUCUGGUGUCCCCUGCCGUGAUAUUGCUGGAAUAUUGCUAAAGCGGCAUAAAACCAUACUCACUCACUCUCUUCUGUAACUCCUUUAUGAGGGCACUACUCAACUCAUGAAAGGGUUAAAAGAUACUGAAUCCUUCCUCCACUGACUGCCAAGUAAUUAGUAGUCUUCAGUUGAGCAGUAUAUACUGUAUGCUUUAUCUCACUGAUUUCUUGCCAUUCAUCACGUGACUUCUCAGACAUCUUGGUUCCUCCAUACCUGCAAUACUAUUAAAAUGUUGAAUUAUAA
Molecule: long non-coding RNA, 2133 nt
Filed under: Haliotis rubra (blacklip abalone)
Lineage: Eukaryota; Metazoa; Mollusca; Gastropoda; Lepetellida; Haliotidae
Description: uncharacterized LOC124288280
Source: RNAcentral